GUGCCAGUCUACUGCCCUCAUGCGAUGGAAAGCGAGCGAGAGCGAUGAGACCGUGAGCAUGGUUGAUGCCACGCAAAAGCUGUCCAUCUGGCAGCAGAAGAGCUGUCACUGUCAGUGAGAAGUGUCUGUCUGUUUUGAGGAAUUGUCCAGGAGCGCUGUCUGGAGGAGAGACUCUCAAAAGUGGACCUGAACAUCCUUCUAAGCAGACGUGAACAGUCCUCAGCUUUCUGCCUUCUGCAUAACUGGCUUACCAAGGGAAAAGAAGUCGCGUAUCAGUCUACUGUCCUCAUGCGAAGGAAAGCGAGACCGACGAGACCGCGAUCAUUGUCGAAAUCAGGCAUUAGCUGUACAUCUGGGAGCGGAGCAGUCACCGCUGUCAGUGAGAUAAAUGUCUGGUUUGGUGAGGGAUCUGCUCAUGGCCCACCUGGCUCCAGUUUGCAGAGGAAUCAUCCAGGAGCUCUCGCCAGACGAGAAUAUGCAGAAGUGGACCUGA
This is a long non-coding RNA of Mauremys mutica (yellowpond turtle), 493 nucleotides long. RefSeq lists it as uncharacterized. The record is from RefSeq and is a predicted model, not a curated record. Lineage: Eukaryota; Metazoa; Chordata; Testudines; Geoemydidae. The transcript has 4 exons.